CUUGGUCAUUUAGAGGAAGUAAAAGUCGUAACAAGGUUUCCGUAGGUGAACCUGCGGAAGGAUCAUUCAUAAUAAGUGUUUAUGGCACUUCUUAAAUCCAUAUCCACCUUGUGUGCAAUGUCAGCCGUUUUCUUUAUGAAAGCGGCCAAACAUCAACUUAUUUUUUAACUGUCUGUCUGAAAACUAUUAUGAAUAAACAAUUCAAAUACAACUUUCAACAACGGAUCUCUUGGCUCUCGCAUCGAUGAAGAACGCAGCGAAAUGCGAUACGUAAUGUGAAUUGCAGAAUUCAGUGAAUCAUCGAAUCUUUGAACGCAUAUUGCGCUCUUUGGUAUUCCGAAGAGCAUGCUUGUUUGAGUAUCAGUAAACACCUCAAAGCCUUCAAUUCAGUUUGAAAGCUUUGGACUUGAGCAAUCCCAACAUCAGUCUCGCGACUGACGGAGGGCUGCUUGAAAUGCAGGUGCAGCUGGACAUUCUCCUGAGCUAUAAGCAUAUUUAUUUAGUCCCGUCAAACGGAUUAUUACUUUUGCUGCAGCUAACAUAAAGGGAGUCUGACCGUAUUGGCUGACUGAUGCAGGAUUUCACAAGGGCUGGCAACAGCUUCUUGUAAAACUCGAUCUCAAAUCAAGUAAGACUACCCGCUGAACUUAAGCAUAUCAAUAAGCGGAGGAAAAGAAACUAACAAGGAUUCCCCUAGUAACGGCGAGUGAAGCGGGAUGAGCUCAAAUUUAAAAUCUGGCUGGUUUACUAGUCCGAAUUGUAGUUUAUAGAAGCGUUUUCGGUGGCAGCCUGGGUAUAAAUCCUUUGGAAUAGGGUAUCAUAGAGGGUGAGAAUCCCGUCUUUGACUCAGUGCAUGCUACUAUGUGAUACGUUUUCAAAGAGUCGAGUUGUUUGGGAAU
RNAcentral lists this small RNA (899 nucleotides) under uncultured zygomycete. Its description in RNAcentral is "eukaryotic LSU rRNA". The stretch from base 615 to 899 matches the Rfam family "Eukaryotic large subunit ribosomal RNA", at positions 1 to 281 of the family's 3401-position model. Lineage: Eukaryota; Fungi. The record is from RNAcentral.